This 222-nucleotide ribosomal RNA is filed under the name uncultured bacterium. Its description in RNAcentral is "partial 16S ribosomal RNA". It matches the Rfam family "Bacterial small subunit ribosomal RNA", at positions 109 to 334 of the family's 1533-position model. The record is from RNAcentral.
AGUAAUGCUUGGGAAUCUAGCUUAUGGAGGGGGAUAACUACGGGAAACUGUAGCUAAUACCGCGUAGAAUCGAGAGAUGAAAGUGUGGGACCUUCGGGCCACAUACCAUAGGAUGAGCCCGAGUGGGAUUAGGUAGUUGGUGAGGUAAAGGCUCACCAAGCUGACGAUCUCUAGCUGGUCUGAGAGGAUGACCAGCCACACUGGGACUGAGACACGGCCCAG